Molecule: ribosomal RNA, 264 nt
Filed under: uncultured archaeon
Lineage: Archaea
Description: partial 16S ribosomal RNA
Rfam family: Archaeal small subunit ribosomal RNA
Source: RNAcentral
ACACGACUACAUUAGAUACCCGUGUAGUCCCAGCCCUAAACGAUGCGCGUUAGGUGUAUCGGUGACCACGAGUCACCGAGGUGCCGAAGGGAAACCGUGAAACGUGCCGCCUGGGAAGUACGGUCGCAAGGCUGAAACUUAAAGGAAUUGGCGGGGAGCACCACAACGGGUGGAGCCUGCGGUUUAAUUGGACUCAACGCCGGAAAUCUCACCGGAUAGGACAGACAUAUGAUAGUCGGGCUGAAGACUCUACUUGAUGAUCUG